This 497-nucleotide ribosomal RNA is filed under the name uncultured bacterium. Its description in RNAcentral is "partial 16S ribosomal RNA". It matches the Rfam family "Bacterial small subunit ribosomal RNA", at positions 28 to 507 of the family's 1533-position model. The record is from RNAcentral.
GAUGAACGCUGGCGGCGUGCCUAAUACAUGCAAGUCGAGCGAACAGACGAGGAGCUUGCUCCCCUGACGUUAGCGGCGGACGGGUGAGUAACACGUGGAUAACCUACCUAUAAGACUGGGAUAACUUCGGGAAACCGGAGCUAAUACCGGAUAAUAUAUUGAACCGCAUGGUUCAAUAGUGAAAGACGGUUUUGCUGUCACUUAUAGAUGGAUCCGCGCCGCAUUAGCUAGUUGGUAAGGUAACGGCUUACCAAGGCGACGAUGCGUAGCUGACCUGAGAGGGUGAUCGGCCACACUGGAACUGAGACACGGUCCAGACUCCUACGGGAGGCAGCAGUAGGGAAUCUUCCGCAAUGGGCGAAAGCCUGACGGAGCAACGCCGCGUGAGUGAUGAAGGUCUUCGGAUCGUAAAACUCUGUUAUUAGGGAAGAACAAAUGUGUAAGUAACUAUGCACGUCUUGACGGUACCUAAUCAGAAAGCCACGGCUAACUACGUG